AUACGGAGGAUGCGAACGUUAUCCGGAUUUAUUGGGUUUAAAGGGUGCGUAGGCUGUGCGUUAAGUCAGGGGUGAAAUGCCGUCGCUCAACGACGGAGCUGCCCUUGAUACUGGCGUGCUGGAGUACGGAUGCCGUUGGAGGAAUGAGUGGUGUAGCGGUGAAAUGCUUAGAUAUCACUCAGAACACCGAUUGCGAAGGCAUCUGACGAAUCCGUCACUGACGCUGAGGCACGAAAGCGUGGGGAUAGAACAGGAUUAGAUACCCUGGUAUUCCACGCCGUAAACGAUGAUGACUAACCGUCGGCGAUAGACAGCCGGUGGCCAAGCGAAAGCGAUAAGUCAUCCACCUGGGGAGUACGUCGGCAACGAUGAAACUCAAAUGAAUUGACGGGG
RNAcentral lists this ribosomal RNA (393 nucleotides) under uncultured bacterium. RNAcentral describes it as "partial 16S ribosomal RNA". It matches the Rfam family "Bacterial small subunit ribosomal RNA", at positions 523 to 918 of the family's 1533-position model. The record is from RNAcentral.